CGCGGCCUAUCAGCUUGUUGGUGGGGUGAUGGCCUACCAAGGCUUCGACGGGUAGCCGGCCUGAGAGGGCGACCGGCCACACUGGGACUGAGACACGGCCCAGACUCCUACGGGAGGCAGCAGUGGGGAAUAUUGCGCAAUGGGCGGAAGCCUGACGCAGCGACGCCGCGUGAGGGAUGACGGCCUUCGGGUUGUAAACCUCUUUCAGCAGGGACGAAUGUGACGGUACCUGUAGAAGAAGCACCGGCCAACUACGUGCCAGCAGCCGCGGUAAUACGUAGGGUGCGAGCGUUGUCCGGAAUUAUUGGGCGUAAAGAGCUCGUAGGCGGUCUGUCGCGUCGAAUGUGAAAACCCGGGGCUCAACUCCGGGCUUGCAUUCGAUACGGGCAGGCUAGAGUUCGGUAGGGGAGUCUGGAAUUCCUGGUGUAGCGGUGAAAUGCGCAGAUAUCAGGAGGAACACCGGUGGCGAAGGCGGGACUCUGGGCCGAUACUGACGCUGAGGAGCGAAAGCGUGGGGAGCGAACAGGAUUAGAUACCCUGGUAGUCCACGCCGUAAACGUUGGGCGCUAGGUGUGGGGAUCCUUCCACGAUCUCCGUGCCGCAGCUAACGCAUUAAGCGCCCCGCCUGGGGAGUACGGA
RNAcentral lists this ribosomal RNA (639 nucleotides) under uncultured Actinomycetes bacterium. Its description in RNAcentral is "bacterial SSU rRNA". It matches the Rfam family "Bacterial small subunit ribosomal RNA", at positions 232 to 886 of the family's 1533-position model. Lineage: Bacteria; Bacillati; Actinomycetota; Actinomycetes. The record is from RNAcentral.